Molecule: ribosomal RNA, 2384 nt
Filed under: Shigella flexneri
Lineage: Bacteria; Pseudomonadati; Pseudomonadota; Gammaproteobacteria; Enterobacterales; Enterobacteriaceae
Description: partial 23S ribosomal RNA
Rfam family: Bacterial large subunit ribosomal RNA
Source: RNAcentral
GGGUUGUGAGGUUAAGCGACUAAGCGUACACGGUGGAUGCCCUGGCAGUCAGAGGCGAUGAAGGACGUGCUAAUCUGCGAUAAGCGUCGGUAAGGUGAUAUGAACCGUUAUAACCGGCGAUUUCCGAAUGGGGAAACCCAGUGUGAUUCGUCACACUAUCAUUAACUGAAUCCAUAGGUUAAUGAGGCGAACCGGGGGAACUGAAACAUCUAAGUACCCCGAGGAAAAGAAAUCAACCGAGAUUCCCCCAGUAGCGGCGAGCGAACGGGGAGCAGCCCAGAGCCUGAAUCAGUGUGUGUGUUAGUGGAAGCGUCUGGAAAGGCGUGCGAUACAGGGUGACAGCCCCGUACACAAAAAUGCACAUACUGUGAGCUCGAUGAGUAGGGCGGGACACGUGGUAUCCUGUCUGAAUAUGGGGGGACCAUCCUCCAAGGCUAAAUACUCCUGACUGACCGAUAGUGAACCAGUACCGUGAGGGAAAGGCGAAAAGAACCCCGGCGAGGGGAGUGAAAAAGAACCUGAAACCGUGUACGUACAAGCAGUGGGAGCACGCUUAGGCGUGUGACUGCGUACCUUUUGUAUAAUGGGUCAGCGACUUAUAUUCUGUAGCAAGGUUAACCGAAUAGGGGAGCCGAAGGGAAACCGAGUCUUAACUGGGCGUUAAGUUGCAGGGUAUAGACCCGAAACCCGGUGAUCUAGCCAUGGGCAGGUUGAAGGUUGGGUAACACUAACUGGAGGACCGAACCGACUAAUGUUGAAAAAUUAGCGGAUGACUUGUGGCUGGGGGUGAAAGGCCAAUCAAACCGGGAGAUAGCUGGUUCUCCCCGAAAGCUAUUUAGGUAGCGCCUCGUGAAUUCAUCUCCGGGGGUAGAGCACUGUUUCGGCAAGGGGGUCAUCCCGACUUACCAACCCGAUGCAAACUGCGAAUACCGGAGAAUGUUAUUACGGGAGACACACGGCGGGUGCUAACGUCCGUCGUGAAGAGGGAAACAACCCAGACCGCCAGCUAAGGUCCCAAAGUCAUGGUUAAGUGGGAAACGAUGUGGGAAGGCCCAGACAGCCAGGAUGUUGGCUUAGAAGCAGCCAUCAUUUAAAGAAAGCGUAAUAGCUCACUGGUCGAGUCGGCCUGCGCGGAAGAUGUAACGGGGCUAAACCAUGCACCGAAGCUGCGGCAGCGACGCUUAUGCGUUGUUGGGUAGGGGAGCGUUCUGUAAGCCUGUGAAGGUGUGCUGUGAGGUAUGCUGGAGGUAUCAGAAGUGCGAAUGCUGACAUAAGUAACGAUAAAGCGGGUGAAAAGCCCGCUCGCCGGAAGACCAAGGGUUCCUGUCCAACGUUAAUCGGGGCAGGGUGAGUCGACCCCUAAGGCGAGGCCGAAAGGCGUAGUCGAUGGGAAACAGGUUAAUAUUCCUGUACUUGGUGUUACUGCGAAGGGGGGACGGAGAAGGCUAUGUUGGCCGGGCGACGGUUGUCCCGGUUUAAGCGUGUAGGCUGGUUUUCCAGGCAAAUCCGGAAAAUCAAGGCCGAGGCGUGAUGACGAGGCACUACGGUGCUGAAGCAACAAAUGCCCUGCUUCCAGGAAAAGCCUCUAAGCAUCAGGUAACAUCAAAUCGUACCCCAAACCGACACAGGUGGUCAGGUAGAGAAUACCAAGGCGCUUGAGAGAACUCGGGUGAAGGAACUAGGCAAAAUGGUGCCGUAACUUCGGGAGAAGGCACGCUGAUACGUAGGUGAAGCGACUUGCUCGUGGAGCUGAAAUCAGUCGAAGAUACCAGCUGGCUGCAACUGUUUAUUAAAAACACAGCACUGUGCAAACACGAAAGUGGACGUAUACGGUGUGACGCCUGCCCGGUGCCGGAAGGUUAAUUGAUGGGGUUAGCGCAAGCGAAGCUCUUGAUCGAAGCCCCGGUAAACGGCGGCCGUAACUAUAACGGUCCUAAGGUAGCGAAAUUCCUUGUCGGGUAAGUUCCGACCUGCACGAAUGGCGUAAUGAUGGCCAGGCUGUCUCCACCCGAGACUCAGUGAAAUUGAACUCGCUGUGAAGAUGCAGUGUACCCGCGGCAAGACGGAAAGACCCCGUGAACCUUUACUAUAGCUUGACACUGAACAUUGAGCCUUGAUGUGUAGGAUAGGUGGGAGGCUUUGAAGUGUGGACGCCAGUCUGCAUGGAGCCGACCUUGAAAUACCACCCUUUAAUGUUUGAUGUUCUAACGUGGACCCGUGAUCCGGGUUGCGGACAGUGUCUGGUGGGUAGUUUGACUGGGGCGGUCUCCUCCUAAAGAGUAACGGAGGAGCACGAAGGUUGGCUAAUCCUGGUCGGACAUCAGGAGGUUAGUGCAAUGGCAUAAGCCAGCUUGACUGCGAGCGUGACGGCGCGAGCAGGUGCG